This 256-nucleotide ribosomal RNA is filed under the name uncultured bacterium. RNAcentral's name for it is "partial 16S ribosomal RNA". It matches the Rfam family "Bacterial small subunit ribosomal RNA", at positions 524 to 776 of the family's 1533-position model. The record is from RNAcentral.
UACGGGGGGGUGCGAGCGUUGUCCGGAAUCACUGGGCGUAAAGGGCGCGUAGGUGGUUUGAUAAGGGUGUGGUGAAAGUCCGGAGCUCAACUCCGGAUCUGCCGUGCCGACUGUCAAAACUCGAGGGCUGUAGAGGCAGACGGAAUUCCGGGUGUAGCGGUGGAAAUGCGCAGAUAUCAGGAGGAACACCGGUGGCGAAGGCGGUUCUCUGGGCAUGUCCUGACGCUGAGGAGCGAAAGUGUGGGGAGCGAACAGG